AGUUGCAUUACUGGGCAAUCCUCCUUUGGCAGUUGGCUUGAGUAGAACACCAAUUGAGUGUGCGACUAUUCAUUAAUGGACUACUGCCAAAGGAGACUUGCCCGGCAAUUCAACU
MicroRNA precursor from Ananas comosus (pineapple), 115 nucleotides. It matches the Rfam family "mir-399 microRNA precursor family". Rfam says of the family: mir-399 was identified in both Arabidopsis thaliana and Oryza sativa computationally and was later experimentally verified. mir-399 is thought to target mRNAs coding for a phosphatase transporter. Lineage: Eukaryota; Viridiplantae; Streptophyta; Magnoliopsida; Poales; Bromeliaceae. The record is from Rfam.